GCCUAGGUGCUGGAAUUGGCAGACAGAGCAGACUCAAAAUCUGCUGGCCCUUGUGGCCGUGUGGGUUCGAGUCCCACCCUGGGCA
RNAcentral lists this transfer RNA (85 nucleotides) under Parcubacteria group bacterium. RNAcentral's name for it is "tRNA-Leu". It matches the Rfam family "tRNA". Rfam says of the family: Transfer RNA (tRNA) molecules are approximately 80 nucleotides in length. The record is from RNAcentral.